AGGGUGCAAGCGUUAAUCGGAAUUACUGGGCGUAAACGCACGUAGGUGGCUUUGCAAGCCGAUUGUGAAAUCCCCGGGCUUAACCUGGGAACUGCAGUCGAGACUGCACUGCUUGAGUAUGGGAGAGGGAGGUGGAAUUUCCGGUGUAGCGGUGAAAUGCGUAGAUAUCGGAAGGAACAUCAGUGGCGAAGGCGACCUCCUGGACCAAUACUGACACUCAAGUGCGAAAGCGUGGGGAGCAAACAGGAUUAGAUACCCUGGUAGUCCACGCCAUAAACGAUGACAACUGGAUGUCGGAGGGGUCUGCCCUUCGGUGUCGUAGCUAACGCGUUAAGUUGUCCGCCUGGGGAGUACGGCCGCAAGGUUGAAACUCAAAUGAAUUGACGGGGACCCGCACAAGCGGUGGAGCAUGUGGUUUAAUUCGAUGCAACGCGAAGAACCUUACCUGGUCUUGACAUGUCUGGAAUCUUGCAGAGAUGCGAGAGUGCCUUCGGGAA
This 497-nucleotide ribosomal RNA is filed under the name uncultured Gammaproteobacteria bacterium. Its description in RNAcentral is "bacterial SSU rRNA". It matches the Rfam family "Bacterial small subunit ribosomal RNA", at positions 529 to 1026 of the family's 1533-position model. The record is from RNAcentral. Lineage: Bacteria; Pseudomonadati; Pseudomonadota; Gammaproteobacteria.